CACAGAGGGAGUGAAGAGGCUCGCAACAGCAACAGGCUAGUCUUUGGACAUUUUGUGCACUUAACCAACAGUGCAGUUCAAGAAGAAGAGGCUAAAAUAAAAGACCCAGUGUAACGGCAGAUUUUCUCUUCGUCUGAAGAGGAGUAAGGAUCGGACCAAGAUGCAGCGUGGGAGGUGACUUAAAGAAGAGUAACGUUAAGGCCUCAACAUCUUGCUGAAUUGAUCUGAACAACAUCUCUGAAUUUCUAUUGGUGUCCAUUUUGAAAGUGCUGAACGAAUAGGCUUACCUCAUCACAGUUCGUAUACUUGUAUUUGCUUAUACUUAGAGCUAAGUGUUUCAUGAUAUAAAAACAAACAUUAUGAGAUUACUGAACAUAAAUGUAAUAAUGUUUUUGUAUUGUUCAAAAGUCUAAAUUCAUGUCGGCAUUACUUACUAAUGAAGAAGAAUGUGGUUCUUAUCGAGUUCCACAAAUCCACAAGGAGUUAGUAGAAAUCAUAUUUAUUUAAGCAAGUCAGCCAUAUCAGCUAUGGUUUUUAAAAAGUCAGUAAAUGAGGCUGAAUGAACUAUUUCCCUGCCAGACAAGGCUCCGCUGAUAGCCAGGUGUAGAGGUGGUAAGGAUCAACUCCAUGGUGCUGAAGGAAAGCUCUGCUGUUGGUACAGCUUUAUGUAGGCCCUAACCGUUUGUGGGUACUGUUUGUCACUGUCAUAUUGCAAUUCAUGUAUUGUUUAGUGUUGUGUAGUGGCUUUGCUGGCAUGCAUCUAAAAAAAAUUAUGUGUGUGCCCCACCAAGAUUUGCAUGCUAAAAUCCCACUGAAUGUGAGAAUGUAAGAUUAGUUGACGCAGAAAACAACCUCUGUUGUCUCAAAUAGAUUGGGGGGGUAUAGUUGUGGGGGAACAAAAACCUGACAUUCUUUUUUUAUUGCUGAAAUUCAAUUUGAAAUUUGAUGGCCACAGAGAACAGAGCAGAAGAGAGAGAGAGCCUUGAUGGAGGAGAGGCAAGUUGAGGCUGGGCAGACGAGAAGGGGUAAGGAGACCUCCCUGCGGGCCUCGCAGCCCCAAUUCAGUCUAUUGAUUUUCUGUCCUCUCCUUCAAUAUCUGGAAUGCGCCGUACCCAAUAGAUUAUGACAAACGUGGCCGCGAGAGACCAGCAAUCCUCUCUAAUUGAACCUGAUGGUGUACAGCUGAGGAUCAAAGGUCGGGGAAAUUCAGUGACACAGCAGGUUUCUCUCCUUCUCUAAAAAACACUCCUCCAAGGUCCAUAAAACAGGGGGAGGGGGAGGAAGGGUCUUAUUUCUCUGUACAUCCUUCCUCCUUUCCUUUCCUCCAUUCCUCUCCUCAGACAAGGGCAAGCUACACUGUUACUGCACCGCUGAGCACAGAGGAGUCAGACUCAAGGCUUUACAAUAACAACCUCCUGCCAAAAGUGCAACGGGAAAAAAACAAGGCAGAAGAAAAGCUCAGUGCUCUAUUUUGAUGAAAGUAACAAGCACAGCUUGUUGUAAAUAGGUUUUCUGAAGCCCGAGGCAGCUUUUCUCCCCGGGGGACAUACUUUCUGCGUCUUUCCCUGGGUUGCUGUCGCCGAAAGGUUCUGUCUGGAAGGAAAGAAGGGAAAAAAACUCAAAGUGGCACAAACAAGAACUCGCUUCAGCUGUUUUGACAGGAGGAGGAAAUCAUCAUUCAGUUGGACACGCUAGUUCGCAAUUGCCAUCCAUUCAGGUUGGAAAACAAUAUAUGCUGUUAAGGGAAAUCCACAGCUUACCCUGUUGUUUACCAGCCGUGCGUGCGCUUGGGCAGAGUCAUAUUUCUUGGAGCAACGUGCUCCUUUUGGUAACAUGAGACUUCGCCAGUCCAUGCGUUCCUAAACUCUCAAAUACAUUCACAAGGGGGUGAUAGCAGAGCUUUUCUUGUUGUCUUGCUAGCUAGCUGGCUAAAAACAGCAAGCUAGCUAGCCUUUUAGCUUCCCCCAUAUGAAAUCAUCUGAUUUUUAAUAAAAAUAAUAUGCCCUGGCAAAUAUUCUUAUUCUUGCCAGUGUAACCUACAACAUUAUCCCAGUUUGAUAUGUUCCUCUACUGUAUUUGCUCCCAAAUCACCUAAAAAUAGAAAGGCAUGGUUUUUGCUCACAGAGAAAAAGGACAUGGCUAAUGGCUGUAUUUACAGGUUAAGAAUAGCCCACAAUCACAUAGUUAUACAUUUUGAACAAAAACCUUUUUUUGGGGGGGUUCUAAAAAAUGCUUUAGUGUUGGUUUAUUGUGUGAACAGUUGCUGAGAACAUAUUUUGAAAUCAAUGCAAAAUAGGCUUCUUACUUGAUGCAUAACCUACAUUACUGGUCAAAAGUUUUAUAAGACCUACUGGUUCAAGGGUUUUUCUUUAUUAUUACUAUUUUCUACAUUGUAGAAUAAUAGGGAAGACAUCAAACUAUGA
Oncorhynchus gorbuscha (pink salmon) is the source of this 2423-nucleotide long non-coding RNA. RefSeq lists it as uncharacterized. NCBI's taxonomy places the organism in Eukaryota, Metazoa, Chordata, Actinopteri, Salmoniformes, Salmonidae. The transcript is spliced from 4 exons. The record is from RefSeq and is a predicted model, not a curated record.